UACGUUCCCGGCUUGUACACACCGCCCGUCACACCACGAAAGUCGGCAACACCCGAAGCCGGUGGCCUAACCCGCAAGGGAGGGAACCGUCGAAGGUGGGGUUGAUGAUUGGGGUG
Molecule: ribosomal RNA, 116 nt
Filed under: uncultured bacterium
Lineage: Bacteria
Description: partial 16S ribosomal RNA
Rfam family: Bacterial small subunit ribosomal RNA
Source: RNAcentral